RNAcentral lists this ribosomal RNA (291 nucleotides) under uncultured prokaryote. RNAcentral's name for it is "partial 16S ribosomal RNA". The record is from RNAcentral.
CCCUAUGGGGCGCCCGGGAACAUAAUUUAAAAAACAUUUCCGUCGAUAUCCCCAGAGACAAACUUGUUGUGAUUACAGGGCUUUCCGGUUCAGGGAAGUCCUCUCUUGCUUUUGACACUAUAUAUGCCGAGGGGCAAAGGCGUUAUGUCGAGUCCCUCUCCGCGUACGCCCGGCAGUUCCUCGGACUUAUGGAAAAGCCCGAUGUUGACCUCAUAGAAGGGCUUUCUCCCGCGAUAUCAAUAGAACAGAAAACGACACACCGGAACCCGAGGUCCACGGUGGGAACGGUCA